UGACGUGAACAGCGACAGGCGCGGACAGAAGAAGCGUGAAGAAGCCUUGCGCU
This 53-nucleotide non-coding RNA is filed under the name uncultured Symbiodinium. The record is from RNAcentral. Lineage: Eukaryota; Dinophyceae; Suessiales; Symbiodiniaceae.